UUUUUCUCCUUUUGUGCCAAUAUAUUCAUAUAUUUUUUUUGCCCCAAAACCUUCACUGAGACGGCAGGAAUUGCUGUUGUGGUUCCUCGUUAUUUAAACUCCAUGAAAUUAAAGUUCCCCGAUUUGCUGCUGGACAAGUUUUAAAAAGCUGUGGUACGAAGUGGAGAAGACGUGGGAGGUUCUUCAUGGACACAGUUGCUUUUAAAGAUGUGUUACCUUUCCCACGUGGUCACGUGGAUGUUUCCCCAGCAGACCCUAAAUUCCCCCCCAAAACGCCCCACGCUCCCCUUGAGACUCACUGACUGAACCGAGCGGUCGCCCUGUAUGGCGGCGUUUCCUCCGCUACCGUCCACCCGUUUGUUCCUGGAAACGGACCAAUGGCGAAAAUACUUUUAUUGUGUGGAGUAAACACCCGGGGGGGGGGUGGGGGCGUCCGUGUGCCGUCGGGUGUCGGGUUUUUUUUCGCACCUGUGGCGUUGACGUCAUCUGAGUGGGGAUGUCGGGGUUUCCGGGACAGAAGACGCGGUGGAAGAUGGAAGGUACGAGUGUCCCCCCCCCACCCCCACUCCUACUAGACUCUGAGAACGAGGCAGGGGGGAGAGUUUCUGCCACUUGGAUGAAGAAGAGCAAGGAAAACCCUUUUUUUUCCCGUUUGGAUGCCCUCUUUACUUCAUGUUUGCCUUUUAUCGUGAAAUUCAGUAAUAUCAUUAAUAUUGAAAUUUAAAUAUAUCAAUUUUUAUCUUGUGUAUAGGUAUUUGUUGAAUUUUACUGUGGGUGGGUGGGUGAGUGUGUGUGUGUGUGUGUCUGAGGGUGUGUGAUGCAUGUGGCAUACUGGAUGAGGACGGCUGAGGAUAUGUGGUCUUUGAGAGGAAAAUAAGAAAAAAGAAGUGCCGCGAGUGUCGACGGGCUGCGGUUCCUUCAAAAACAGUCGGAAACCUUUUGAUUCCUUCCAUUGAGUGUCCUUGGGUUUGUGUUUUUGUCAAUCAAUGUCACUGCUAUGAAGUCUAGCCCAGUAUGAUUAAAUGUAAAAAAAUAAAUAAAAAAAACCUAAAAUGCAAUGUGGUCUACAUGAAAGCGUGUAUUAUAAAUUAAUAAAUCUUUAAAUAAGGCGACGUCCCUGGAUCCCCUUUUUCUAUUUCUUUAAUAAAUAAUCUGUAGGAACUAAA
Molecule: long non-coding RNA, 1166 nt
Organism: Gasterosteus aculeatus aculeatus (three-spined stickleback)
Lineage: Eukaryota; Metazoa; Chordata; Actinopteri; Perciformes; Gasterosteidae
Source: Ensembl